Molecule: ribosomal RNA, 1360 nt
Filed under: uncultured prokaryote
Description: partial 16S ribosomal RNA
Rfam family: Bacterial small subunit ribosomal RNA
Source: RNAcentral
AGAGUUUGAUCCUGGCUCAGGAUGAACGUUGGCGGCGUGCCUAACACAUGCAAGUCGAACGGGAAGCUCUACUUCGGUAGAGUGGAGAGUGGCGCACGGGUGAGUAACACGUAACUGAUCUGCCCUAGAGAGGGGGAUAACUACUGGAAACAGUAGCUAAAACCCCAUAAGCUCACGUUUUUUAGAAAGAUGUGAGAAAAACUGAGGUGCUUUAGGAUGAGGUUGCGUCCCAUCAGCUAGUUGGUGUGGUAAAGGCACACCAAGGCGACGACGGGUAGGGGACCUGAGAGGGUGACCCCCCACACUGGGACUGAGACACGGCCCAGACUCCUACGGGAGGCAGCAGUGAGGAAUAUUGCACAAUGGACGAAAGUCUGAUGCAGCGACGCCGCGUGGGCGAAGAAGGUUUUCGGAUCGUAAAGCCCUUUUCUAUGUGACGAGAAUGGACGGUAGCAUAGGAAUAAGUGUCGGCUAACUACGUGCCAGCAGCCGCGGUAAAACGUAGGACGCGAACGUUAUCCGGAGUUACUGGGCGUAAAGCGCGUGCAGGCGGUUUUGUAAGUUACCUAUGAAAGCUCUCGGCUAAACUGAGAGAGGCUAGGUGAAACUGCAAGACUAGAGUGAGGUAGAGGUGAGUAGAAUUCCAGGUGUAGUGGUGAAAUGCGUAGAUAUCUGGAGGAAUACCAGUGGCGAAGGCGGCUCACUGGCCCUCAACUGACGCUGAGACGCGAAAGCGUGGGUAGCGAACGGGAUUAGAAACCCCGGUAGUCCACGCCGUAAACGAUGUAAGUAGGUGUUCGUAUGCCUGCGGGUAUAUGAGUAUCGAAGCUAACGCGAUAAAUGUACCGCCUGGGGAGUACGGUCGCAAGGCUAAAACUCAAAGGAAUUGACGGGGGCCCGCACAAGCAGCGGAGCGUGUGGUUUAAUUCGAGCCUACGCGAAGAACCUUACCUGGGUUUGACAUGAUAGUAGUACGGAAGCGAAAGCGGAAGGACUCUUCGGAGAGCUAUCACAGGUGCUGCAUGGUUGUCGUCAGCUCGUGCCGUGAGGUGUUCGGUUAAGUCCGCAAACGAGCGCAACCCUCGGCGUUAGUUACAAGUGUCUAGCGCGACUGCCCGUGACAAACGGGAGGAAGGUGGGGAUGACGUCAAAUCAGCAUGGCCUUUAUAUCCAGGGCUACACACACGCUACAAUGGUCGGUACAAUGGGUCGCGAAGCCGCGAGGUGGAGCCAAUCCUCUAAAGCCGAUCUCAGUUCGGAUUGCAGGCUGCAACUCGCCUGCAUGAAGUCGGAGUUGCUAGUAACCGCGUAUCAGCACGGCGCGGUGAAUACGUUCCCGGGCCUUGUACACACCGCCCGU